UACGGGGGGGGUAAGCGUUGUUCGGAAUUACUGGGCGUAAAGGGCGCGUAGGCGGCCUGCUAAGUCGGACGUGAAAUCCCUCGGCUCAACCGGGGAACUGCGUCCGAUACUGGUGGGCUCGAAUCCGGGAGAGGGAUGUGGAAUUCCAGGUGUAGCGGUGAAAUGCGUAGAUAUCUGGAGGAACACCGGUGGCGAAGGCGGCAUCCUGGACCGGUAUUGACGCUGAUGCGCGAAAGCCAGGGGAGCAAACGGG
Molecule: ribosomal RNA, 253 nt
Filed under: uncultured bacterium
Lineage: Bacteria
Description: partial 16S ribosomal RNA
Rfam family: Bacterial small subunit ribosomal RNA
Source: RNAcentral